Molecule: long non-coding RNA, 1074 nt
Filed under: Carassius auratus (goldfish)
Lineage: Eukaryota; Metazoa; Chordata; Actinopteri; Cypriniformes; Cyprinidae
Description: lncRNA (ENSCARG00000050396.1)
Source: RNAcentral
CCCGUUCCGCCUUGACCACAUGGUUGUGGUGGUCUUCUGCUCCACCCUGGGGGACUCCGGCCUCGACCACAAGGAUGUGGUGGUCUUCUGUUCUGCCCUGGGGGGCAUCAGUCCUGACCAAACGGAGGUGGUGGUCUUCUGCUCCGCCCUGGUGGGCGUCACGUGAUGUCCUUCAUGUACUUACGUUUUUUUUUUUUUUCUGUCUCCUCCUAUUGACCUGGCCCUCCGUCCCUCCCCCUGACCCUCCGCCGGUCCACAUCCCUCCUGGGUUUCUAGUCUGUGUCUGUCAUUCCGUUUCCCUCUAGGACCUGGCCCUCCAUCCCUCCCCCUGAUCCUCCGCCGGUCCACCACCUCCUGGACUCCUUGUUUUGUGUUGCACUUCUCUUGUCUCGGUUUCCCCAUUUUACCUGGUUGUCUUGUCUCUGUUUCCCCAUUUUACCUGGUUGUCUUGUCUCUGUUUCCCCAUUCUACCUGGUUGUCUUGUCUCUGUUUCCCCAUUCUAACUGGUCCUCUUGUCCAUGUUUCCCCCAUUUUACCUGGCCCUCCAUCCCUCCCCCUAGUCCUCCGCCACUCCACCUCCCUCUUGGUCUCUUUGUUUGUUUGGUUUUCCCUUGGGUUCGGGUGGAGCAUCUGGCAGCUGCUCCGUGGAGGAGGGGGUAAUGUCACACUGUCUAGUCUCUGUUUCCCUGGGUGUCCACUAGUGGGCUCACUUCCCCUUAGGCACUUCACCAUAGGCACAAGAAUUCCUCUAGUCUGGUCUUGUCUUCACAGUAAUUGCACUCCAGCUGAUUGCACCAGGUGCAGGCAAUCUAUUGUCAUUAGCCUCCUUAUAAAUACCAGUCUUUCCCUGUUGUUUGUAAGGAGUCCUUACCAUUCGUAUACCAGCUUUCUCGUAUUCCGAGUUCUUUCCUCAUUUUCUCGUCCUCCGAGUUCCCAUUCCUUCCCUUUCGUGUUCCCUUCCUUGUUUGUUUAUUUUGUUUGUUUUGGAUUGCUGUAUUGGUUUUUACCCUGGCUUAUGUUUGACCAAGGUUUGGGUUACCCUAUACAAUAAACAUCUGCGAUUGGAUCUCUCGC